Calidris pugnax (ruff) is the source of this 980-nucleotide long non-coding RNA. RefSeq lists it as uncharacterized. The transcript has 2 exons. Lineage: Eukaryota; Metazoa; Chordata; Aves; Charadriiformes; Scolopacidae. The record is from RefSeq and is a predicted model, not a curated record.
CCUUGGGUCAUCUUGAAGGUGGUUUUUGUAACUUUUUCUUCAGAAAACAGUGUUGGUGUCACCUCCUGCUCUCUCGGGGUGUUGGGAAUUUCUCUGAGAUGAUCCCAGGUUGAGUUUCCUGUUGCCAAAAACUCACCACAGCCCCCGGGUGCUGGUUUGGAAACAACCUUUGGCUUCUGUUCCUGUAACUCCCCUUGUGCCGUCGAGGGUUUGGGUUGGGUUUUCUUUUGCGUUGAGUGGCCGUGUCCCUCCGUGGUGGCACCUGGUGCCUCGGGGUCGGUCGGGGACCCUCCGUGCCCGGUUUUUUUCCAGACCCACAGGUCGGUUUGGUGGAGGCAGAAGGGAUGGUGACACGGGGGACAGGCUGGAGCAGAGCACGGGCUCAUCCUCUUGCCUCCACCCCAUCCCUGGUUGAACCCCAACCCAUCUCUCUUCUCCUCGUGUCCACCCAUCCCUUGACACGUGCCAGAGAGACGGAGCUUCCCCUUUCCCAUCCCCACCUGGUGGGUGUCAUCCCUCGGCAGGGACCCUCCUCGCAGCCCCUUGGGAAGGCUGGGAGGUGUUUGACAAUUUUCUCUUUUUUGUUUGGUUUUCUUUUUAUGAUUUUUUUUCUUUUUUUUUCGCUCGUCCAAGUUCUGCUGGCACUUUCGCAGGGGUGUUCGCAGCAUGAGAAAUGGCCAUGAUUUUCCUGCCUGUGUUUGGUACCUAUCGUGUGAUACUUGAAGAGAUCAGGGGUGUUUUGCCCUUUUGUUUGAGUCAGCUCUUUAUUAUUAUAAUUAUUAUAAUUAUCUCUUUUUUUUUUUCUCCUUUUUUUUUUUUUUUUUCUUUUUCCUCCUCUUUUUCUUGCGUUGUUGAUGUAGUGGGCACAUCUGCCACCCUGACAAAAAUGCCUCUUCUCUAAGAGUAUAACCUCUCCAAUAGUUGUGUAUAAUGAAAGAACUGUAAACUUUUUUUAAAAUAAAAUAUGUAUAUACCUUGAA